RNAcentral lists this long non-coding RNA (1623 nucleotides) under Homo sapiens (human). RNAcentral's name for it is "non-protein coding lnc-SLC30A4-5:4". Lineage: Eukaryota; Metazoa; Chordata; Mammalia; Primates; Hominidae. The record is from RNAcentral.
CUCACUGUCCAGAAAUGGCUCCAGGCUGAGUUGCACCCUCAAAGCUUUCCUCUGUUUCACCUCUGUUCAGACCCAAUGCAGGCCCCUUGCAGCCCAGAGGAAUAAAGAGAUGCCUAGAAAGAGGCCGUGGCCACUUGUUCUCUUUUGUUUUCUUCACUGCGGAGGACUGAGCAAGCCCACUAUCUGAGCAAUGUGGAAAUUCCAGCCCUCACAGGGCUUCACACCUUCAAGGGGAAGAACAUUGCGCCAUGAAACUUCCUUGCUCUAGGCCUGCCAGGUUCAGUGAUGGAGCUGAGGAAAAGUGCGGCAGGCUGGCAGCAGGCCUUGUGACGACACAGCGGGGAAACCACAGGAUUCUGCAUUCUUCUGACCACAAGAGGAAGAGAUGGGAUCUUACUAUGUUGCCCAGGAUAUUCUCAAACUCUUGGCUUCAAGUGAUACUCCUGCCUUGGCCUCCCAGAUUGCUGGGAUUACAGGUAUGAGCCACCACACCUGGUCAUGAAAUGAUUUUUUUCUUUUGGGUGCACUAUGUCUAUGACAUUGCAUUUACUAAACAGUAAUUUCUCUCACCCUUCUGAAAACAAAGUUGUAUACACAAAUUCCAACCAGAAUUUCAUCCACUAAACACUAACUGAGCAGUUACUAUGCUCAGAGUAGCUGAGCAGUUACUCUCACGUGCUAGGCAUGAGAGCUGCAAAGGUGAACAGAGCCCGUCCUGGCCCACUUGCUGGGGAGAGUCCCAUAAACAGACGAUCAACCAUAACAAUGCCCUGAGAGUUGAAAGAUCACCUGGACCACUCCAUUCAGUUUACAGAAGACGACACUGAGGUCUCGAGUGAGGGAUUAAGUACCCAAGAUGUCACAGCAGAUAAUGGCAGAGUCAUGAUUUCUAACAAACAAACAGAAGAAGCAAGUCCCCUGCCUGUCGUCAGCCGGAGCCCCUCUGCUACGCCUGCUCCCCUGUUUCCCAUGGACUGCCUCAUCUUUUGCCUCUAGUUUGAGCCUGAAAGUUACACCUCCAAUGAAUGAAACUCACAGGAUCAUUGGCAUCCAGUCUUCCUCCUCCACACCCACUCUCGGCCACCUGCCCUUCUCAUCCACAGGUGGGAGCAAAGCUUGGUCAACCUGAUAGGCCUCUUCCAGGCAGGGACAGGAGAAGGGACGGCACAGCAGCUCUGAGUCAGGACUCCUUUCGGUAAGGCGUGGCCGCCAGGAAGGCCUGAGAGAAGGAAACCAGCCCAGGUGCGCUCUGUUUACCUUCUCGGCUCACAAACAUGACCAGACCCUCCUUGGCUGGCUGGAUGAAGUCCCAGCCACUUAGUCCAGCCCUCGAGCCUCUCCCAUUCCAGCCACAGUCUGCCUGGCCAGUUCCAUCCCCCUACGGCUUUCCUGGUGUACCACACCAUCCUCGGAUUGCAGCUCGCCCUCUUGGGCCUUUCUGGCCUAGCAGGUGCUGUUCCUUCAGCUCCAAUGCCCUUCCCUGCCUCUCCACCCGGCAAGCUCCUUCUCUUUGUAUCUUCUGCACUAACACUUCCCUCCUCCCUCCCCUUCCCCUCUUUUUCCUUUGUGCCCCGGUGGCACUUCUGAGACAAUGUUACAAGCAUAAUAAAAUAACAAAAUCAU